GAGGUCUCAAGCGUUGUUCGGAAUCACUGGGCGUAAAGCGUGCGUAGGCUGUUUCGUAAGUCGUGUGUGAAAGGCGCGGGCUCAACCCGCGGACGGCACAUGAUACUGCGAGACUAGAGUAAUGGAGGGGGAACCGGAAUUCUCGGUGUAGCAGUGAAAUGCGUAGAUAUCGAGAGGAACACUCGUGGCGAAGGCGGGUUCCUGGACAUUAACUGACGCUGAGGCACGAAGGCCAGGGGAGCGAA
Molecule: ribosomal RNA, 245 nt
Filed under: uncultured bacterium
Lineage: Bacteria
Description: partial 16S ribosomal RNA
Rfam family: Bacterial small subunit ribosomal RNA
Source: RNAcentral